Molecule: long non-coding RNA, 1086 nt
Filed under: Triticum aestivum (bread wheat)
Lineage: Eukaryota; Viridiplantae; Streptophyta; Magnoliopsida; Poales; Poaceae
Description: long non-coding RNA (TAES_LNC024108)
Source: RNAcentral
AUAUGUAAAACUUAGGUCAAUUGGUGUGACGCACUCAGUUGAACUAGUGUAAUAUAUGUAGUCGAACGGAUGUAACUUAUCUGUAGUUGAACCAAUUGGAGACCUGGCAACGCAACAACAUUUUCAUUCUAUGGUGUCUCGCACAUGGUUUGCUAGAACAAGUUGAACUGAAUAUAUUUUUUGUUUUGAACUUUGAAAGAAGCUACAACUUCUGUUUCCCGAAUGUGUACAGAAUUUUAAGUUUCCAAGCACUCUUUUUUGGUGAUGAGCACACCGCCCAUGCUCCUGUGGACUGACGGCGCCUCGAAGUGGAGCUGGAGGAGAGGUUCGCCGGGAUUUGGCCGCUUUAGAGAAACAAUAAGUCAGACCUGCUCGAUGGGAAUUUACACAAACUGUUUGGAAUUAGAAAUUAAACUUUAGUAAAAUUAGAAAUUGAAGGAAAAUAAAAUAAGAGACUGACUGAACUAAAAACAAGAAUGAAGCGACGGUGAACGGCCUCGGGCGGCGAGGUUGGACCGCUAGACGCAGCGGUGCCGGACCACCCAGAAUACAUCUAGAACAUCAUGUAUUUCUGGGUGUAUGUUUUAACGUUCUUUUGUACAGAGUGUAUGUUUUUGCCAGCAGGAGGCACCCAUGCACCCACCAGCGGAUGCACGCGACAAGCCCACAACACACACGCACGCACCAGUAGGCACAUCAAAAGUGAUCUGCAGUUCAUUAGAUGUAGCUAUAUGAAAAACCACUUAGAUUCUGUGUUUGGAACAUUAAUCACAUCAUUAGUUCUUGUAGGAAUUUCACAAACAGAUGUAGGGAACAAAACCUUCAGCUCACAUGAUGCUUCAUCGGUGCAUUCAUGAAACACCAACCAAUAAUAGCAGUCCAUCAAGCUUGGAGGUGAGGUAGAAAUCGGGGCAGCAUGUGUGGGCGGCUAUGGACAACACAAAGCGAGAGGUGCCUCGGAGGACCGACGACACACGCAUGCUGGUGGCAGCCACGAUCGUCGGAGCACAGGGGACCAGAGGCGGUGCUCAAGAUCCACCACCGGCCAGCGUCCGCGAUGCCAGCGGGAGCAGGUCCAUGAACCAU